GACGAACCGUGCGAACGUUAUUCGGAAUCACUGGGCUUAAAGCGCGUGUAGGCGGGGCGGAACGUCGGCCGCUGAAAUCCCCCGGCUCAACCGGGGAAGUGGCGCCGAAACGGCCGCCCUUGAGGGGCGUAGGGGGGGCUGGAACUUCCGGUGGAGCGGUGAAAUGCGUUGAGAUCGGAAGGAACGCCCGUGGCGAAAGCGAGCCCCUAGACGUCAUCUGACGCUGAGACGCGAAAGCUAGGGGAGCGAACGGG
This 254-nucleotide ribosomal RNA is filed under the name uncultured bacterium. Its description in RNAcentral is "partial 16S ribosomal RNA". It matches the Rfam family "Bacterial small subunit ribosomal RNA", at positions 524 to 776 of the family's 1533-position model. The record is from RNAcentral.